RNAcentral lists this ribosomal RNA (467 nucleotides) under Ovis aries (sheep). RNAcentral's name for it is "partial 12S ribosomal RNA". The record is from RNAcentral. Lineage: Eukaryota; Metazoa; Chordata; Mammalia; Artiodactyla; Bovidae.
CAUAGGUUUGGUCCCAGCCUUCCUGUUAACUUUCAAUAGACUUAUACAUGCAAGCAUCCACGCCCCGGUGAGUAACGCCCUUCGAAUCACAUAGGACUAAAAGGAGCAGGUAUCAAGCACACACUCUUGUAGCUCACAACGCCUUGCUUAACCACACCCCCACGGGAGACAGCAGUAACAAAAAUUAAGCCAUAAACGAAAGUUUGACUAAGCCAUAUUGACCAGGGUUGGUAAAUCUCGUGCCAGCCACCGCGGUCAUACGAUUGACCCAAGCUAACAGGAGUACGGCGUAAAGCGUGUUAAAGCAUCAUACUAAAUAGAGUUAAAUUUUAAUUAAACUGUAAAAAGCCAUAAUUAUAACAAAAAUAAAUGACGAAAGUAACCCUACAAUAGCUGAUACACCAUAGCUAAGACCCAAACUGGGAUUAGAUACCCCACUAUGCUUAGCCCUAAACACAAAUAAUUAU